ACUGAGGGGGGGGCGUCCCUCAGCCUGGAUUGCAAGAGGGCGCAGGCCAGGCCGAGGGUCCCUGCUGGUGCACG
Molecule: microRNA precursor, 74 nt
Filed under: Myotis davidii
Lineage: Eukaryota; Metazoa; Chordata; Mammalia; Chiroptera; Vespertilionidae
Description: mir-9193 microRNA precursor family
Rfam family: mir-9193 microRNA precursor family
Source: Rfam by way of RNAcentral